UUUGUUCACUCUUUGUAUCUACUGCUCAGCCUCGUCUCUCUUGCUUCCUCUCAUGGCGACCGGCGCUGCCCCCUUUUCAUUGUCAGGUGCAACUCAUGUCAAAGCAUGCGAACCUUGGUCUGCAAAGUCCUCCUCGUUUGUCAAGACACCUAUGGUGGCUAUUCAGAAGAAAUCAAACUCUCAAGGAACAAAAACCUCCAAGUUGUCUAUUCGUGCAAACUACAGUGAUCAAAGAGGUGGCGGGGGCAACGGUGGUGAUUUUGUUGCCGGUUUCCUUUUAGGAGGUGCAAUAUUUGGAACACUUGGCUAUAUUUUUGCUCCACAGAUACGGAGGUCAUUGCUCAAUGAAGAUGAAUAUGGUUUCCGGAAAGCCAAGCGACCAAUGUACUAUUAUGAUGAAGGUUUGGAGAAAACUAGACAAACUUUGAACAAUAAGCUAGAUCAACUGAACAGCGCCAUUGACAAAGUAUCUUCAGGGUUGAGAGGUGGAAACAAAAUGCCUUCAGUGCCUGUUGAGAGUGAUGCAGAAGAAGCUACUAUGUGAGAACUGGUCUUGUACCUCUUUAUGAUCAAUCAUAGGACUCUACACACAGGAUAUUGGAACAGUAUAAGGAUCAUGAAGUUUCUAGUCUUACCAGUUAUUUUAUUAUCUUCUGAAUCUUUUGGUGAGGUUUCAUCAUGGAACUUGAAAGAAAAAAGAACAAAAUAUGAUUUCCAGGAAGUCGGAGACUUGUGAGUGAAAACUAGUUAUUCACUUGAAUAGUCCUCAAAUUUGAAUUUUAAUUCUUCAAGCAGCAUUUGCAGAUAUUGAAGUUCAGUAUUUAAAAUGUUGAAAUAUCAUUUUG
Molecule: unclassified non-coding RNA, 845 nt
Filed under: Hevea brasiliensis (rubber tree)
Lineage: Eukaryota; Viridiplantae; Streptophyta; Magnoliopsida; Malpighiales; Euphorbiaceae
Source: RNAcentral